This 1129-nucleotide long non-coding RNA is filed under the name Homo sapiens (human). RNAcentral's name for it is "HSALNT0394747". The record is from RNAcentral. Lineage: Eukaryota; Metazoa; Chordata; Mammalia; Primates; Hominidae.
CAAGACCAGAUGAGCUGGUUUCUUGGUAUGGUUUAUCAGCACAGGUGAUCCUAGCUGGUCCAUCAGAAUGCAGGGUCUAAAAAAUACCUGAAGCACAAAUCUUAGGGUUUACAAUAGUGAUGUGAUCUUUAGGAGUAAUUGCAGAGGCUAAAAAUCUUGUGUCCUCUGUCUAUAUGACUCCUAAACUAUAAUUCUAACCUUGUGACUAAUUUGUUAGUUUUAGAAAGGUUGAUUCAGUUCUUGAGCAAGGACAAGGGAACCCUUGGCUUUGAGGAACAAAUCAACAAAUAUAUGGAACUUGCAAAAUACUUCUAUAAGGUUUUAAAGAAAAAAGAUAACUUUAAGCUUGUGUUUGAUGCAGAGUUGACGUCAUGGUCAUGGCAUGGAUGAAUGGAAGUUUGAAGGAAUUUGUAAACCAAAAUAUGGGGAAGAUGAUAACAUAGAUAUGAAAAUCCUCAAGAAUUAUGACUCAAGAGUUUAUUGGAGAAACAAGCAGAUCCCGUGCCAGACUAGGCCCUCUCUGAGGAAAGUAGCUACUUCUUUUAUCUCUGAAUCCAGGCCCUGACAUGUACUAAGCACAGAAAGAAACCUUUAUUUAAAUACAUAAACAUUAAGUGAGAUAAAUUAAAGUACUUCUGAAAUAAUGAAGUCACUAAAGAAUUAAGUGGAGUUUUUAUGGAUACUUGUAAAAUAUUUUUCUUUGAUUUAGCCUGAGUUCACUAAUGUCUGCUUCUGGUAUUUCCCAGCAAGGCUUAAACAUAUUCCAAAAGGUUUUGAAAGAGAUCAAGAACUCCGAAAGAUUGCUCCAAAGAUUAAAGCACAGAUGAUGAUGGAAGGCACAAUCAUGAUAAGCUACCAGCCAUGUGGAGACAAAGUAAAUAUUUUGCGAAUGGUUUUUUUCUAAUCCUGCCUCAAGACAGAAAGAUGUUGACUAUCUUAUUGAUGAAAUUGAAAGGCUUGGGAAGGAUUUAUGAUACUUCAAUGUGAACUUGGAUAUCCCAUGUAAACAUCAACUUAAUUCUAUUCCUAAGGAUAAUAAGAAAGGAAUAUUGAAACUGUUAUAAAAAUGUUAUGAAUAAGAACUUUUAAUUUUUAUUCUAUGCUAUGUAAGAUGAAAGGUAAGAUGAAA